CCGCGUGAGCGAAGAAGGCCUUCGGGUUGUAAAGCUCAGUCACCCGGGAAGAGAGACCAUGGGAGGGAAUGCCCUUGGAGAGACGGUACCGGGAGAGGAAGCCCCGGCUAACUACGUGCCAGCAGCCGCGGUAAUACGUAGGGGGCAAGCGUUGUCCGGAAUCACUGGGCGUAAAGCGUGCGUAGGCGGUUUGUUAAGUCUGAAGUGAAAGGCCAUGGCUCAACCAUGGGAAUGCUUUGGAAACUGGCAGACUUGAGUACUGGAGAGGCAAGGGGAAUUCCACGUGUAGCGGUGAAAUGCGUAGAGAUGUGGAGGAAUACCAGUGGCGAAGGCGCCUUGCUGGACAGUGACUGACGCUGAGGCACGAAAGCGUGGGGAGCAAACAGGAUUAGAUACCCUG
This 400-nucleotide ribosomal RNA is filed under the name uncultured bacterium. Its description in RNAcentral is "bacterial SSU rRNA". It matches the Rfam family "Bacterial small subunit ribosomal RNA", at positions 397 to 789 of the family's 1533-position model. The record is from RNAcentral.